UACGGAGGAUGCAAGCGUUAUCCGGAAUGAUUGGGCGUAAAGCGUCCGCAGGUGGCUAUGUAAGUCUGCUGUUAAAGAGUGAGGCUCAACCUCAUAAGAGCAGUGGAAACUACAUAGCUAGAGUGCGUUCGGGGCAGAGGGAAUUCCUGGUGUAGCGGUGAAAUGCGUAGAGAUCGGGAAGAACAUCGGUGGCGAAAGCGCUCUACUGGGCCAUAACUGACACUCAGGGACGAAAGCUAGGGGAGCGAAUGGG
This 253-nucleotide ribosomal RNA is filed under the name uncultured bacterium. RNAcentral's name for it is "partial 16S ribosomal RNA". It matches the Rfam family "Bacterial small subunit ribosomal RNA", at positions 524 to 776 of the family's 1533-position model. The record is from RNAcentral.